RNAcentral lists this ribosomal RNA (891 nucleotides) under Staphylococcus saprophyticus. RNAcentral describes it as "bacterial SSU rRNA". It matches the Rfam family "Bacterial small subunit ribosomal RNA", at positions 61 to 932 of the family's 1533-position model. Lineage: Bacteria; Bacillati; Bacillota; Bacilli; Caryophanales; Staphylococcaceae. The record is from RNAcentral.
GUCGAGCGAACAGAUAAGGAGCUUGCUCCUUUGACGUUAGCGGCGGACGGGUGAGUAACACGUGGGUAACCUACCUAUAAGACUGGGAUAACUUCGGGAAACCGGAGCUAAUACCGGAUAACAUUUGGAACCGCAUGGUUCUAAAGUGAAAGAUGGUUUUGCUAUCACUUAUAGAUGGACCCGCGCCGUAUUAGCUAGUUGGUAAGGUAACGGCUUACCAAGGCGACGAUACGUAGCCGACCUGAGAGGGUGANCGGCCACACUGGAACUGAGACACGGUCCAGACUCCUACGGGAGGCAGCAGUAGGGAAUCUUCCGCAAUGGGCGAAAGCCUGACGGAGCAACGCCGCGUGAGUGAUGAAGGGUUUCGGCUCGUAAAACUCUGUUAUUAGGGAAGAACAAACGUGUAAGUAACUAUGCACGUCUUGACGGUACCUAAUCAGAAAGCCACGGCUAACUACGUGCCAGCAGCCGCGGUAAUACGUAGGUGGCAAGCGUUAUCCGGAAUUAUUGGGCGUAAAGCGCGCGUAGGCGGUUUCUUAAGUCUGAUGUGAAAGCCCACGGCUCAACCGUGGAGGGUCAUUGGAAACUGGGAAACUUGAGUGCAGAAGAGGAAAGUGGAAUUCCAUGUGUAGCGGUGAAAUGCGCAGAGAUAUGGAGGAACACCAGUGGCGAAGGCGACUUUCUGGUCUGUAACUGACGCUGAUGUGCGAAAGCGUGGGGAUCAAACAGGAUUAGAUACCCUGGUAGUCCACGCCGUAAACGAUGAGUGCUAAGUGUUAGGGGGGUUUCCGCCCCUUAGUGCUGCAGCUAACGCAUUAAGCACUCCGCCUGGGGAGUACGACCGCAAGGUUGAAACUCAAAGGAAUUGACGGGGACCCGCACAAGCGG